This 1563-nucleotide long non-coding RNA is filed under the name Phaseolus vulgaris (common bean). Its description in RNAcentral is "long non-coding RNA (PVUL_LNC004148)". Lineage: Eukaryota; Viridiplantae; Streptophyta; Magnoliopsida; Fabales; Fabaceae. The record is from RNAcentral.
AACGAUUCCUCACAUGGCGGCUGGAAGGGCCUUUUCCGACAUCACUACCUUCCUUCGCAACCAAACCGCUCCUCCCACUUCCCAACCUCUCGAUUCUCUCUUCCUCUCUUCUUCCACUGCUUCUUUUCUUGGUCAGUAAUAAUUACCCUCCCUCCUUAUUUUUUACCACUCAUGGACACUGUGUUUGACUUUUUGCUAUUUGAUUCAGGUUCGAGAUCCAUGAUGAGUUUCGAAGGAGAAGGAGGGAAGGGGUGUAAUGGUUCCUUCUUCCGCGCGUUUGACAUAGACGAGAAUGGAGAUGAGUGCAUGGACGAGUACUUUCAUCAGCCUGAGAAGAAGCGCCGUCUCUCUGCCAACCAGGUUCAGUUCCUCGAGAAGAGCUUCGAGGAAGAGAACAAGCUUGAACCCGAGAGAAAAACCAAGUUAGCCAAAGACCUUGGUCUGCAGCCACGACAGGUCGCUAUUUGGUUCCAGAACCGUCGUGCUCGGUGGAGGACCAAACAGCUCGAGAAGGACUACGAGAUUCUGCAUGACAGCUUUGAGAGUCUCAAGGCCAACUACGAAAGCCUCCUCAAGGAGAAAGACAAGUUGAAAUCUGAGGUAAUUAAAUCGAGAACUCAAUUUGGAUCCAAUGAGUAUUUUUCUUUAACUAUUUUUAUAUCGAAAUUGAAGUUUGAUCUUAAUAACAAUCCAUAACUUAAUGUUGGUUUAUUCAUGUAUUGAUACAAAUUGAUGACUCUAUUUUGUGGGCUGACGAGUUAAUUUGUGUGACGUUUUGGUUAAAUCAGGUGGCGCACCUGAGUGAGAAGGUGGUUGCAAGAGAGAAAGAAGAGGGGCAGUUGAAGCAGGGUGAAAGGGGAACGAAGGGGUUGCAGGAACAGGAACAGGAACAGGAUGAGGAAGCACCCCAAAGGCCUAUACUUGAUUCAGUUUCGGAGGGUGAAGGAUCGAAAGUUUCUUGCGUUGUUGGGGGUUGCAAACAGGAAGAUAUCAGUUCAGCCAGGAGUGACAUUUUGGACUCCGAUAGCCCGCAUUACACGGAUGGAGUUCACUCAGCAGUGCUAGAGCACGGUGAUUCUUCUUAUGUGUUUGAGCCUGAUCAAUCAGACAUGUCACAAGAUGAAGAAGACAACCUCAGCAAGAGUCUGUACCCUUCCUACCUCUUUCCCAAACUUGAAGAUGCCGAUUACUCCGACCCCACGGAAAGUUCUUGUAAUUUUGGAUUCUCGGAGGAAGAUCAUGCCCUUUGGAACUGGGAGUACUAAGUUUUCUCCCAUCUUUCUGUGUCUGUGCCGUGUGUAGUGUUUAUUUAGUAUUUGCACUUUUAGUCAAGACUUCAUAAAUGGCCAAUAAGUCAGAUCAAUCACUAUAGCUUUAUUAGGAUAGAGAUGGUGGUUUUUGCCGCAUUUUGCUACUUGUAAUGAAACUGUUGGUUCCAAUGUAAUUAAAUAAUGCUUUCCUGUUGAGAAUGUAAAUCUGGAUUUAGUUUAAUGAAGCAAUUUAAAUUGAAAAGCUGAAGAAAUGGGAGAGACAAAAUUAUAAUAAGAAAUCCAAACAUAGCUC